RNAcentral lists this unclassified non-coding RNA (309 nucleotides) under Hevea brasiliensis (rubber tree). Lineage: Eukaryota; Viridiplantae; Streptophyta; Magnoliopsida; Malpighiales; Euphorbiaceae. The record is from RNAcentral.
AUUUCAAGAAAAAACUGAAGAAUCAGUCAUUGAACAGCAACCUGAUGUACCAGCAGUUAAGGAGAAACCUGAAGAACCAACACUUGAGGAGAAAACUGAAGUACUAGUUGAGGAGAAACCUCAAGAACCGGCGGCUGAAGAGAAACCUGAAAAAACAGUAGCUAUAGGAACAGCUGAAGAACUAGCACUUGAAGGGAAACCUGAAGAACUAACGGUUGAAGAUACAUCUGAAGAGCUACUUGUCGAAGAGAAAGAUGAAAAACCAGCAAUUAAAGAGGAGGAACCUGAAACGGAAGCUCUUCAGGAGAA